GAGUUUGAUCAUGGCUCAGGAUUAACGCUGGCGGCAUGCCUAAUACAUGCAAGUCGAACGGAGUAGCAAUACUUAGUGGCGAACGGGUGAGUAACACGUAUCUAAUCUACCAUUUAGUGGGGAAUAACUGUUGGAAACGACAGCUAAUACCGCAUAAUAUUGCUGGAUAAUUUCCAGUAAUGAAAGGAGCUUUCAAGCUCCGCUGAUUGAUGAGGAUGCGGCGCAUUAGCUAGUUGGUAGGGUAAUGGCCUACCAAGGCAAUGAUGCGUAGCCGAUCUGAGAGGAUGAACGGCCACAUUGGGACUGAGACACGGCCCAAACUUCUACGGAAGGCAGCAGUAGAGAAUUUUUCACAAUGGGCGAAAGCCUGAUGGAGCAAUGCCGCGUGACUGAUGAAGGUCUUCGGAUUGUAAAGGUCUGUUGUAAGGGAAGAAAUGGUAAAACAGGAAAUGGUUUUAUCUAUGACGGUACCUUACCAGAAAGCCACGGCUAACUAUGUGCCAGCAG
This 507-nucleotide ribosomal RNA is filed under the name uncultured Spiroplasma sp. RNAcentral describes it as "bacterial SSU rRNA". It matches the Rfam family "Bacterial small subunit ribosomal RNA", at positions 9 to 514 of the family's 1533-position model. Lineage: Bacteria; Bacillati; Mycoplasmatota; Mollicutes; Entomoplasmatales; Spiroplasmataceae. The record is from RNAcentral.